GUGUGUGUGAGCAGCUGUUUCCCAAUAGGAAGUUGCUCUGUUCUCUGCAUGAAGUCCUGUAGCUUCAAGAGAGAGAGAGAGAGAGAGAGAGAGGGAGGGAAGAGAGAGAGAGAGAGAGAGAGAGAGAGAGAGAGAGUGGCAGAGAGGUAGAGGGGAGAGGGAGGAGGGAGGGGAGUGGCAGAGAGAGAGAAAGGGAGAGUGGCAGAGAGAGAGAGAGAGAGGGAGAGUGGCAGAGAGAGAGAGAGAGAGAGGGAGAGUGGCAGAGAGAGAGGGAGGGAGAGUGGCAGAGAGAGAGAGAGAGAGGAGAGUGGCAGAGAGAGAGAGAGAGGGAGAGUGGCAGAGAGAGAGAGAGAGGAGAGUGGCAGAGAGAGAGGGGUGAGGGAGAGUGGCAGAGAGAGAAGAGAGAGAGAGAGAGAGUGAGGGAGAGAGAGAGAGAGAUUAACGUGUUGGGCGACACGAUGACCUGCAUCACACUCUUUUUCUGAAGGCCAGUUCGGAAUUUCGUCCCACUCCUGACAGAUCAGAUAUUCUUCCUCUUGAAAUGUUGUCGCUCAGAAAGACGUGACCGCUGUUCUGCUUUUAUACACCAGGUAUAUAUUUUAUCGAUUUCUUUGCUUUGUGUGCGUGCAUGAGUGGCGUGUAACCCCACGGAGACCCAGUCACGGCACACCUUCUGCGCACGCUGAGCUGUGUUUAAAAUGGAAAGCUACAACAGUGUGAUGAUUGUGCAAAGUGUUCGUACCGAUAAACCCAAGCAGGACCUUCAUUGGCUUUCCUGCCGUCUCACGUCAGGUUCGUUACCCCCGUCUCACCCCUCGCCUGUCGUGUGUUGCAGCGAAUGUGAGAGUAUAUAAAAUAUAACCGUUUCGCACCGAUCAUCAAUUAUGGACGACGCUUCAUUCUAACUUCGGUUAGCCAAGCGGGCUAACUGUACGAGCUAUGCACACUCGCCAGAGGCACCGACGAUCUCUGCCGCUUCCUUCCAAGCUCCAUUUUCCUCCGUCGCGCUUCACAGUAUGCGAAAGGAUAAAAUGAUACUACGUUUAUAUGUCGAAAAACAAAUGAGAACCUAUUUGCAGGGAAAAAACUUGGUACUACACACGGCACCUUUAGUCCUGAAAUCGUCUUUUAUAUUCGAUCGGCUACGUGUUUGUAGGUGUUCUUGCACGGUAACAUGAUGAUGAUGAGUCUUUAUUGGUCACAUAUACAUAUGCACAGUGAAAUUCUUUUCUUCGCAUUGUCCAGCAUGUCAGGAAGUUGCGGUCAGAAAUGAUACAGCGCCCCCUGGAGCAGAGAGUGUUAAGGGAUUUGCUCAAGGGCCCAACAGUGGCAGCUUGGCAGUGCUGGGGCUUGAACCCCCGACCUUCUGAUCAGGAACCCAGAGCCUUAACCGCCAAGCCACCACUUCCCUUGUAAUCCUUGUGCUGAAACGUGACGUAUGGAAUCGCGCAAUCAAGUCACGGGUUGGAUGGAAUUCUUCUCCGUGAAGCAAACCUGUGGUCACGUAGAAGCCCCACCCCCUGAACAAACCCAGACUCUGUCCUGGGUGCGGACUUGUAUAUUGUAUAUCCGGGCCAAGUGUGAAAAAGCCCAAAGCAGCCGUUUAUACUGAGAAACCGCAUGUGAUUCUGCACAAGGAGUCCUGCAGCAGUUACAGCCUUUAUCUGUCAGCUUUCCAAGUCUCAGUAAAAAGGGUUUUGCUUUCUGGUCAUCUUUGAAAUAAUAGUUGCUUUGGACACCCUAUCGGUAUCAUGUUUGUUCUACUGAGAGGUUUUAGGCGAAUGAAGUCCCGAACAGUGAACUUCGUACCCUAAAAGAUAGUAAAAGCACCAUCGUGAAUAGUUGUAUGGUGUGCAUGGACAUUUACAAGUCCUGUUUGAUUGGGUGUAAUGCUGAACUGAUCAGUG
This is a long non-coding RNA of Ictalurus punctatus (channel catfish), 1907 nucleotides long. The record is from Ensembl. NCBI's taxonomy places the organism in Eukaryota, Metazoa, Chordata, Actinopteri, Siluriformes, Ictaluridae.